UCUCGUCCGGACGCGCUCCUCCUCCAGAUCCGGGAAAGUGGCAAGACUUCCGGUCUUGUUUACAGCGAAAGCCGGAAGUGGCUGCGAGCGAAUCGGCGUUUGCUGAGGCUGCUAGUUUAGAGUGUUUGCGCUGGUAGCUGCUCUUGGCACGAAAGAUGCCGAGUGUGGCGGCUGCAAGCACCGCUCCGUCCGAGUCUCAGGAAAAGAAGCCGCUGAAGCCCUGCUGCGCCUGCCCAGAGACCAAGAAGGCGCGCGAUGCGUGUAUCAUCGAGAAAGGAGAAGAACACUGUGGACCCCUAAUUGAGGCCCACAAGGAGUGUAUGAGAGCCCUUGGAUUUAAGAUAUGAAAUGGUCUUCGUACCCAGAGAUAAACCAGAGAGGCUUACAUUCAGGAUUUUUUUGCCAGGUUCCCUGCUGUGUGAAUAUGUAAUUACUGAAGAAUGGAGAAGACUAAAUAAUAUUGGGAGUUCUUUGAUGAGCUUUAAUAAAUGGAAAAAGUAUUUAUAAUUUAUUAAAAAGAGGAAAAUAUCCCUGGU
This is an RNA transcript of Nycticebus coucang (slow loris), 536 nucleotides long. It is a transcript of the gene named cytochrome c oxidase copper chaperone, with no coding region annotated. The transcript is spliced from 4 exons. The record is from RefSeq and is a predicted model, not a curated record. NCBI's taxonomy places the organism in Eukaryota, Metazoa, Chordata, Mammalia, Primates, Lorisidae.